RNAcentral lists this unclassified non-coding RNA (457 nucleotides) under Hevea brasiliensis (rubber tree). Lineage: Eukaryota; Viridiplantae; Streptophyta; Magnoliopsida; Malpighiales; Euphorbiaceae. The record is from RNAcentral.
AAAAGAAGCACUUGGCUGCUCUUAGAUCUGUCAUCAAAUGCUCAAGACGCCAUAACAUUGAUCUUUCAAAACUUCUUCCCGGGUGGAAAAUCAAUGAGCAAAUAAUGUGCUUGGAGAAAGAAAUUGAAGUAGGUGAGAAGAAGAUGGCACAAAAGAGAAAAAAUGAUGAAACUGAGUCAUCUGGAAUGAUCAGCAACAAAGAGGCGAAACAGUCGCAUUUUCCAAAUCCACGGCUACAACAGGAAAGAGUUGUUAAUCAUAUUGAUAGCAACACAACCUUGUUAGAAAGUGGAACUGCUGGCCACAUGUUUGGUUUGUCCCCAUUAGUAUUGCAUGGACCUGGAGGUCAUGGAAGGACUUUAGUAGAUAAUACACCCAUGCAAAUAGGAAGUCAUCACACUGGUCAGUUAUAUGGACUGCAUGGUGAUGGAGCUGUGUGCGACAGACUGCCCUCCCA